ACUCCUACGGGAGGCAGCAGUGGGGAAUAUUGCACAAUGGGGGAAACCCUGAUGCAGCCAUGCCGCGUGUGUGAAGAAGGCCUUCGGGUUGUAAAGCACUUUCAGUAGGGAGGAAGGUAGUGUAGUUAACACCUGCAUUAUUUGACGUUACCUACAGAAGAAGCACCGGCUAACUCCGUGCCAGCAGCCGCGGUAAUACGGAGGGUGCGAGCGUUAAUCGGAAUUACUGGGCGUAAAGCGCAUGCAGGCGGUUUGUUAAGUCAGAUGUGAAAGCCCGGGGCUCAACCUCGGAAUUGCAUUUGAAACUGGCAGACUAGAGUACUGUAGAGGGGGGUAGAAUUUCAGGUGUAGCGGUGAAAUGCGU
This 364-nucleotide ribosomal RNA is filed under the name uncultured bacterium. Its description in RNAcentral is "bacterial SSU rRNA". It matches the Rfam family "Bacterial small subunit ribosomal RNA", at positions 335 to 691 of the family's 1533-position model. The record is from RNAcentral.